This 71-nucleotide transfer RNA is filed under the name Tentoriceps cristatus (crested hairtail). RNAcentral describes it as "tRNA-Val". It matches the Rfam family "tRNA". From Rfam's summary of the family: Transfer RNA (tRNA) molecules are approximately 80 nucleotides in length. Lineage: Eukaryota; Metazoa; Chordata; Actinopteri; Scombriformes; Trichiuridae. The record is from RNAcentral.
CAGAGUAUAGCUAAAAAGAAUAGUAUUUCCCUUACACUGAAAAGUCAUUCGUGCAAAUCGAAUUACCCUGA